Molecule: ribosomal RNA, 593 nt
Filed under: uncultured bacterium
Lineage: Bacteria
Description: bacterial SSU rRNA
Rfam family: Bacterial small subunit ribosomal RNA
Source: RNAcentral
AUUGAACGCUGGCGGCGUGCCUAACACAUGCAAGUCGAGCGGUAACAGGCGUAGCAAUACGUGCUGACGAGCGGCGAACGGGUGAGCAAUGCUUCGGAAUCUGCCCAAUGAUGUGGAAUAACCAGUCGAAAGAUUGGCUAAUACCGCAUACGCCCUACGGGGGAAAGCGGGGGCUCGUAAGACCUCGCGUCGAUGGAUGAGCCGAAGUCGGAUUAGCUAGUUGGUAGGGUAACGGCCUACCAAGGCGACGAUCCGUAGCUGGUCUGAGAGGACGAUCAGCCACACUGGGACUGAGACACGGCCCAGACUCCUACGGGAGGCAGCAGUGGGGAAUCUUGCGCAAUGGGCGAAAGCCUGACGCAGCCAUGCCGCGUGAGUGAAGAAGGUCUUAGGAUUGUAAAGCUCUUUCGCUCGUGACGAUGAUGACGGUAACGAGAGAAGAAGCCCCGGCUAACUUCGUGCCAGCAGCCGCGGUAAUACGAAGGGGGCUAGCGUUGUUCGGAAUUACUGGGCGUAAAGCGCGCGUAGGCGGUUUUGCAAGCCAGAGGUGAAAUGCCUGAGCUCAACUUAGGAAUUGCCUUUGGGACUGCGAG